This 1390-nucleotide ribosomal RNA is filed under the name uncultured prokaryote. RNAcentral describes it as "partial 16S ribosomal RNA". It matches the Rfam family "Bacterial small subunit ribosomal RNA", at positions 60 to 1431 of the family's 1533-position model. The record is from RNAcentral.
AGUCGCACGAGAAGUUCAGCUUGCUGAAAUGAGUAAGUGGCGCACGGGUAGUAACACGUGGGUAACCUGCCCCGAAUCGGGAUAACGUUGCGAAAGCGGCGCUAUACCGAAUAAUAUUAAUAAGACCUAGGUUUUGUUAAUCAAAGAUGGCCAAUUCUUGAAAGCUAUUGUUUGAAGAUGAGUCUACGCACCAUUAGCUUGUUGGUGGGGUAAAAGCCUACCAAGGCGACGAUGGUUAGCUGGUCUGAGAGGAUGAUCAGCCACACUGGAACUGACACACGGUCCAGACUCCUACGGGAGGCAGCAGUGAGGAAUUUUGCGCAAUGGGGGAAACCCUGACGCAGCAACGCCGCGUGAGUGAUGAAGGCUCUUGGGUCGUAAAACUCUGUCAGCAGGGAAGAAAUUAUAUAUGGUUAAUACCCAUAUGUAUUGACGGUACCUGCAAAGGAAGCACCGGCUAACUCCGUGCCAGCAGCCGCGGUAAUACGGGGGGUGCAAGCGUUAUUCGGAAUUAUUGGGCGUAAAGCGAGUGUAGGCGGUCUGUUAAGUCAGAUGUGAAAGCCCGGGGCUCAACCCCGGAAGUGCAUUUGAAACUGUCAGACUUGAGUAUGGGAGAGGAAAGUGGAAUUCCUGGUGUAGAGGUGAAAUUCGUAGAUAUCAGGAGGAACACCAGUGGCGAAGGCGACUUUCUGGACCAAUACUGACGCUCAGACUCGAAGGCGUGGGGAGCAAACAGGAUUAGAUACCCUGGUAGUCCACGCAGUAAACGUUGACAACUAGGUGUCGCGGGUAUUGACCCCUGCGGUGCCGGAGCUAACGCAUUAAGUUGUCCGCCUGGGGAGUACGAUCGCAAGAUUAAAACUCAAAGGAAUUGACGGGGGCCCGCACAAGCGGUGGAGCAUGUGGUUUAAUUCGACGCAACGCGAAGAACCUUACCUGUAUUUGACAUCCUGGGACAUAGAGUAGAAAUAUUCUUUUCCUUCGGGACUCUUUACAAGGUGCUGCAUGGUUGUCGUCAGCUCGUGCCGUGAGGUGUCGGGUUAAGUCCCAUAACGAGCGCAACCCCUAUCGUUAGUUGCCAGCGAGUCAAGUCGGGGACUCUAACGAGACUGCCGGUGUAAACCGCGAGGAAGGUGGGGAUGACGUCAUAUCAGCACGGCCCUUACGUCCAGGGCUACACACGUGUUACACUGGCCGAUACAAAGGGCAGCUAGGCAGCGAUGCCGAGCGAAUCUCGAAAGACGGUCUCAGUUCGGAUCGGAGUCUGCAACUCGACUUCUUGAAGUUGGAUUCGCUAGUAAUCGCGUAUCAGCCACGGCGCGGUGAAUACGUCCCGGGCCUUGACACACCGCCCGUCAAGCCAUGGAAGUCUGGGGUGCCUGAAGGCCGU